UUAUAAAAAACUUAUAUUUCCUUAUGAGGAAUUUUUCCCGAAGUUCAACAGCUCAUAACUUACGAUCUAACCAUCUAAACAACUCCAAAUUUUACAUGGAGUACUGAUAUAUCUUUAGCAACUACCACACCAAAAUCCAACCGUAAAUUCGUCUUGGAUCUUGUGAUAUCUUGAAAACCCUAACUGUAGCUUCAAACCCUAGCUUUUUUACACCCGUGUACAACUUCCUUCAUAUCUCACAAAGUAAUUAUUCAAAUACUAUGAAACUUUGAUCUAAAGCUUCUUAACCCAAUUACACACACUUGUGGAAAUUUUGAGCCAAAAAUUCGUCCAGAAACUCAAGAUAUGGCUUCACCCAUAACUAGCAACAAAACGAUAUACUUACUGCCUUCAAAUUACAAGUGCUUUCUUCAACGCCUCAUAACUCCUUCACCUAAUCUUAGAAUUCACUAUACAGUAAGUAGAAUGUGUAGCCGAGAAAAUGCUCCCUCCAAAUCUAGUCGCCGAUCUUCCGUUGCUCUCCGUAUUUGUAUGUGAUGCUCAAAAGAAGUGACAGUAGGUACAAAAUUGACACCUUAUCUUUGAACAUUCAUAUCUUUUCCAUAAAAACUCGAAAUCACACAAAAUCUUCACCCAAAUUAUACCCAAAAUCUUAAACCUUCUGACCCUAGCCUCAAAAGCU
RNAcentral lists this long non-coding RNA (682 nucleotides) under Physcomitrium patens. Its description in RNAcentral is "long non-coding RNA (PPAT_LNC005491)". The record is from RNAcentral. Lineage: Eukaryota; Viridiplantae; Streptophyta; Bryopsida; Funariales; Funariaceae.